GGUUUGGUGGUCUAGUAGUAUGAUUCACCCUUAGGGCUCUCGCAGUACUUGGGUGAGGUCCCGGGUUCAAUUCCCGGCCAGACCC
Molecule: transfer RNA, 85 nt
Filed under: Puccinia coronata f. sp. avenae
Lineage: Eukaryota; Fungi; Basidiomycota; Pucciniomycetes; Pucciniales; Pucciniaceae
Description: Puccinia coronata var. avenae f. sp. avenae partial tRNA-Pro
Source: RNAcentral